GAACAAGCUAGCCCCUAACUAACUGAAUGCCCGAAGAAAUAGCAUGUACAGGAAAGUAAAAUUAUAUAUAGUAGUAAACAAUAGAAUAAGAGCAUGCUUGUGUGAUUUCCUAUUGUAACGGCAUACUCGCUAGGCUAGAGUUCUUUGAAUCUCAGGAGGGCCAUUUGAAGUUUUUAAUUUUAUUUGGUUGUAUUCUUUUUCUUAUUCAGCAAUACAAAGCUCUGUUGAGCAAUUCCCUCUACAUUUUCUCUCUUUAAUUGCUCUUUUUAAACUCCUAACUCUAUCAAAUUCAUAUGUUAUACAAACUCAAAAUCCUAAUCCUCUAAUCAAGUCAGCUUUCUCUUUCUCAACUAUUCUUUUUUUUUUAAUUUCUUUUUCUCGCCUUGGGACGCCUGGUGGCACCUUGCCUGGGUGCCUAGGGGGCACCUAAUUGAGAAUGCCUCGCCUGAAGGAAGGCUUCCCAGGCAUGGUACCUGGAUUUCACCUCGCCCGAGUGCCUUUUGACAACACUAAUAUUAAUUACAAUAAAAUAUCAAUUUCAUUAUAUUUAAAAGUAGUAUUAAAAAAUAAAGGACAAUGAGAAAAAAAAAUUACAAUC
This 598-nucleotide unclassified non-coding RNA is filed under the name Hevea brasiliensis (rubber tree). Lineage: Eukaryota; Viridiplantae; Streptophyta; Magnoliopsida; Malpighiales; Euphorbiaceae. The record is from RNAcentral.